AAUAGAUACCCGGGUAGUCCACGCCGUAAACGAUGAGUGCUAAGUGUUAGGGGGUUUCCGCCCCUUAGUGCUGCAGCUAACGCAUUAAGCACUCCGCCUGGGGAGUACGGUCGCAAGACUGAAACUCAAAGGAAUUGACGGGGGCCCGCACAAGCGGUGGAGCAUGUGGUUUAAUUCGAAGCAACGCGAAGAACCUUACCAGGUCUUGACAUCCCAUUGACCACUAUGGAGACAUAGUUUUCCCUUCUGGGACAACGGUGACAGGUGGUGCAUGGUUGUCGUCAGCUCGUGUCGUGAGAUGUUGGGUUAAGUCCCGCAACGAGCGCAACCCUUGUUCUUAGUUGCCAUCAUUUAGUUGGGCACUCUAAGGAGACUGCCGGUGACAAACCGGAGGAAGUGGGGAUGACGUCAAAUCAUCAUGCCCCUUAUGACCUGGGCUACACACGUGCUACAAUGGACGGUACAAACGGUUGCCAACCCGCGAGGGGGAGCUAAUCCGAUAAAACCGUUCUCAGUUCGGAUUGUAGGCUGCAACUCGCCUACAUGAACG
RNAcentral lists this ribosomal RNA (550 nucleotides) under uncultured bacterium. Its description in RNAcentral is "bacterial SSU rRNA". It matches the Rfam family "Bacterial small subunit ribosomal RNA", at positions 777 to 1325 of the family's 1533-position model. The record is from RNAcentral.